RNAcentral lists this ribosomal RNA (650 nucleotides) under Caldimonas brevitalea. RNAcentral describes it as "bacterial SSU rRNA". It matches the Rfam family "Bacterial small subunit ribosomal RNA", at positions 55 to 700 of the family's 1533-position model. Lineage: Bacteria; Pseudomonadati; Pseudomonadota; Betaproteobacteria; Burkholderiales; Sphaerotilaceae. The record is from RNAcentral.
AUGCAAGUCGAACGGCAGCACGGGAGCAAUCCUGGUGGCGAGUGGCGAACGGGUGAGUAAUACAUCGGAACGUACCUGGUAGUGGGGGAUAGCCCGGCGAAAGCCGGAUUAAUACCGCAUACGACCUGAGGGUGAAAGCGGGGGAUCGCAAGACCUCGCGCUAUUGGAGCGGCCGAUGGCAGAUUAGGUAGUUGGUGGGGUAAAGGCCUACCAAGCCUGCGAUCUGUAGCUGGUUUGAGAGGACGACCAGCCACACUGGGACUGAGACACGGCCCAGACUCCUACGGGAGGCAGCAGUGGGGAAUUUUGGACAAUGGGCGCAAGCCUGAUCCAGCCAUGCCGCGUGCGGGAAGAAGGCCUUCGGGUUGUAAACCGCUUUUGUCAGGGAAGAAAUACUCUGGGCUAAUACCCUGGGGUGAUGACGGUACCUGAAGAAUAAGCACCGGCUAACUACGUGCCAGCAGCCGCGGUAAUACGUAGGGUGCGAGCGUUAAUCGGAAUUACUGGGCGUAAAGCGUGCGCAGGCGGUUGUGUAAGACAGAUGUGAAAUCCCCGGGCUCAACCUGGGAACUGCAUUUGUGACUGCACGGCUUGAGUGCGGCAGAGGGGGAUGGAAUUCCGCGUGUAGCAGUGAAAUGCGUAGAUAUGCA